RNAcentral lists this small nucleolar RNA (137 nucleotides) under Carlito syrichta (Philippine tarsier). The record is from RNAcentral. Lineage: Eukaryota; Metazoa; Chordata; Mammalia; Primates; Tarsiidae.
AUGGCCCCAAAUUGAGGCCAGCAGUUUGCUGAAUCUGUUGGUUUCAAGCAGGAGCCUAAAGAAUUAUCUUUCUCUGGUCUGUUGGCCAUUUCAGAACUUUGGAAAUAUAAUGGUCAAUUCAUUAGAAAGAAAUAUCU